GAUGGACGCUGACAGAAUGCUUAACACAUGCAAGUCAACUUGAACUUCGGUUUGGGUGGCGGACGGGUGAGUAACGCGUAAAGAACUUGCCUCACAGUUAGGGACAACAUUUGGAAACGAAUGCUAAUACCUGAUAUUAUGAUUUUAGGGCAUCCUAGAAUUAUGAAAGCUAUAUGCGCUGUGAGAGAGCUUUGCGUCCCAUUAGCUAGUUGGAGAGGUAACGGCUCACCAUGGCGAUGAUGGGUAGCCGGCCUGAGAGGGUGAACGGCCACAAGGGGACUGAGACACGGCCCUUACUCCUACGGGAGGCAGCAGUGGGGAAUAUUGGACAAUGGACCAAGAGUCUGAUCCAGCAAUUCUGUGUGCACGAUGAAGUUUUUCGGAAUGUAAAGUGCUUUCAGUUGGGAAGAAAAAAAUGACGAUACCAACAGAAGAAGUGACGGCUAAAUACGUG
RNAcentral lists this ribosomal RNA (454 nucleotides) under uncultured bacterium. Its description in RNAcentral is "partial 16S ribosomal RNA". It matches the Rfam family "Bacterial small subunit ribosomal RNA", at positions 28 to 507 of the family's 1533-position model. The record is from RNAcentral.